This 67-nucleotide transfer RNA is filed under the name Omosudis lowii (hammerjaw). RNAcentral describes it as "tRNA-Cys". It matches the Rfam family "tRNA". Rfam says of the family: Transfer RNA (tRNA) molecules are approximately 80 nucleotides in length. Their secondary structure includes four short double-helical elements and three loops (D, anti-codon, and T loops). Lineage: Eukaryota; Metazoa; Chordata; Actinopteri; Aulopiformes; Alepisauridae. The record is from RNAcentral.
AGCUCUGCAGUUUUAGAAAACGCCAGAUUGCAAAUCUGGAGAAGUAGGCUAACGCCUACCGGGGCUU